This 13991-nucleotide long non-coding RNA is filed under the name Podarcis lilfordi (Lilford's wall lizard). Lineage: Eukaryota; Metazoa; Chordata; Lepidosauria; Squamata; Lacertidae. The record is from RNAcentral.
GAUGAGCAUGACUGGCCACAGCUACAGCAUCUACAAUGCCAUCUAUGUUGUGGCACAUGCUCUACAUGCCAUGUUCCAAUACUGGUCGAAGGACAGAGGAAUUGUGAGAAGAUGGAGACCGCAGCUUCAGAAAUUGCAGCCUUGGCAGGUAAUGGCUCUCUUUUUAAAAAAUUAUUAUUUCAUUUUAUAUUGUUGAUAAAGCAAAGACAACAAUUUUAACAACAGACAAAAAUUGAAAGAAGAAUACCCAAACUGUAAAAUAGGCAGGUAGGAUGUGUAGUUGCACGUGAGUUAAAUAAAGACUUUAAAGUCCAAAUUAAGUCCAAUUUUAUCAGAUCAGCAAGCAUAGUUCCAGAUUUGCCACGUUUGUGGGGGGUUGUUUUGAAAACGUUGGUUCUGCUGUAUAUGCCAAAUCAUAUAAAACGUGUCUAGUCCUUGUCAAAAAUCUCAAAUUAUUUGUGAUUAUCUUUGUUAUAGCUAUAUUCCAGAGUGAGUGGUACAAAGUGUCCAGCAUAAGAUUUUUGGGCUGUGUUCUAUUGAGUUGCAAUUACUAUGAAUGCUGCCAGUUUAAUCUUGCCAAUUCUUUUGGCAAUAUAUUUAAAAUGGUAUAAUCAGGAAUACACAGUGACAUUCAUUUUGGACAACAAAGCAUCUUUUUAUAGUAAUAUUUAUCAUUUCUGAGAAAAUCGGAUACAACCCACUCACCUGAGCUUCAGGUCUUCAAAACAGCUAGGUGUGAUAUUGUCAAUGGCAAUUUCUAUCUCAACUAGAGUCUUAAGAGGGACACCUGUUUUGCCUCUUCCUCCCUCAGUCUAACCCUCUCCCUAUUUUCCUGUUCUUUCAUUUAUACCCUUUCUGCAUUGAACUUCAUGGAUGUUUGCAUGAUGAUUUUAAGCUUUGAAAUACAUAUACAGUGUGGCUUAGUCCUAUACAGAGGAAUCUACAGAGGAAAGAGAGAUCAAAAUUUACAGUUAUUAUUGCUAUAGUUAUUAUUUUGUGAUUAUAUGAAAUCUUGUCUACUGCCUUGGAAGAGGCAAUGGCAACUUAAAAGGUGAUGCUGAACAUAAGAUAAGUUUGAGUUUUAAACAAUUGUCCUUUUCCUGCCAUCUCAAUGCAGCUCCACCCAUUUCUUAGGAGUGUCUCAUUUAACAACAGUGCGGGAGAAGAAGUGUCUUUUAGUGAGAACAGGGAAUCAGAAGCUGGGUUCGAUAUUACCAACUUGGUCACUUUCUCAAAUAACUCCUUCAUCAGAAUGAAGGUUGGAUGGAUGAAUUUGGAUGCUCCCCCAGGAAAAGAAUUUUCCAUCAAUGAAGACAAAAUGGUGUGGCACAGGAGUUUUCAGCAGGUGGGGCUUGAUUUCAGCAAAUUGCAACUCCAGUGUGUCCUAAAUGUGAUGCUUGCAUCUUUGAAGCCUAGCUGAGACAUGGAUCAUGUAUUUUUUAUCACUUGCUGUUUAUGAAAACCUCUAUGAAUAUCAUGAGGCUCUGAUGCCCUGAAGGAGGCCAGGACAUAGUUCAUUAUUAUAUGCUUGUUUGUUUAUUGCAUUUUUAGUCCACCUUUCCUUUGCUUACAUCCCAUUUUAUCCUAACAACCAACAACCCUGUAAGGUAGUGUAGACUGAGAGCAGCAGUGACUGGUCCAAGGUCACCCAAUGAGUUUCAUUUGAACCCUGGUCUUCCACUUCCCUGUCUAGCACAUUCUUUAAAGAUUUGUAGGCCAGCAGAGUGUGACCGAAGCCUAACCUCCAACCAACUUCUUUGGGAAGAAAGAAAAGGGAGCUGAGCCUGGAGACAGACGAGGCAGACUUCUGUAGAGAAUGCCUGGUUUGGAGGCUAGUAAUUCUCAAGAUAUAGUAGCAAAAGUCUGGCAGAGUCCAGCACUAUCCUUGUUUUUGAGGCUGCUUAAGUUGUGGAAUGUGCGUGGUGCUGUGGUCUAUACUACAGAGCCUAGGGCUGGCUGAUCAGAAGGUUGGCAGUUCGAAUCCCAGUGACAGGGUGAGCUCCCAUUGCUCUGUCCCUGCUCCUGCCAACCUAGCAGCUCAAAAGCAUGUCAAAGUGCAAGUAGAUAAAUAGGUACUGCUCCAGCGGGAAGUUAAACAGCGUUUCCAUGUGCUGCUUUGGUUUGCCAGAAGCGGCUUAGUCAUGCUGGCCACAUGACCCGGAAGCUGUACGCCGGCUCCCUCGGCCAAUAAAGCAAGAUGAGCGCCGCAACCCCAGAGUCCCAGAGUCAUCCAUGACUGGACAUAACAGUCAGGGGUCCCUUUACCCUAACCUGUGUUGGCCCAGUGCAUUUAGUCUGGGGUUCUCAGUCCCCAACAUUUGUGUUUCUUCAGCUGGAAAAACUGAAAGAACCUGAAAGUGUAUACAGUAGCUGCUUAUUUAAAUCACUUAGGAUGUCAAAACAUCCUUUCAACUCUACUUUAAAACUUUUUGAAUUUUAUAAGAAAUGUAUUUUUCCAAAUAAUAGUAUUACUGUUCAGGUGAACUCCCUCCCUCCCUUUGAUUUUAAAAAACACACACAUUGAAAUGGCCAUAACUUCAUUUUCAAAGUCACAAAAACAUCUUCUGUCGCAUUAGAUGCCAUUAAUGGCUGUUCACAGCUCAUUGUUUACAAAAUUCUCUUAAUAUUCAGCAGGCCAUUUCUCCCAUCCACUUGAUCCCUUGCAGCCCAGAAAAUGGUGUUCAGAUUCUCCAAAGGUCCAUUAUUCCCCCUGUGCUAAACAUUUCCUUAUGAUUAAUUAAAAUUCACAGGUGCCACCCCUCUCUCAAUGCAACAAAAAUUGCCCUUCUGGUACUAGGAGAAAAAAGAAGGAAGGGGAGAAAUUCUGCUGCUAUGACUGUGCUCCAUGUUCAGAAGGCAAGGUUUCAUACCAGAAAGGUAGGAGACAUUAGGUAGCUUUCAGAUAACCCAGAUUUCCUGUGAAGGGUCUGUGGCAGUGUGAAAGGUGUCACAGUUGCUGCUAUUGAUGUAGUUCUGAUAUCUAUGGUCAUUGAAGUUCACAGACUUGGAGCUCUUCAUUGCAACCAGGUGAUGGCCCAGCAACGAGGCCCAGCAUUUUCAAAGAGGUGCUUUGCAAGCCCAAAUGAUCAGAUGGUGGUUGGGGUUUACAAAGCACAGUUACCUGCCCUUCACCUAACAUCAGAGAUGACAUCAGAUACAGGGCCGGUAGGUGUAACUUGCUAAAAUGGCCCCAUGGGCCAGAGGUUUUCUAUCACUGGAUUACCUGGGUGGUGAUGGAGAUGAGUUGCAGCAGUGCACCUGCAAAGCACAGGCCUCCUGCUGUCCAGACACACCCCCUUACUGUCCAGGCAAGCGACUGAGAUCAUUGUCUGGGGGAGGGGGGUUCAAAGCCCUUUCUCCCCAUGCUAGUCACUCCUGUGUCUGAAAAGGAUUGUCUCUUCCACAUCCAACUGGUAAGUCCCAUACUGCCAGGAUGCAUACCUACUCACAAGUUGCACCCUUAAAGGGAAUCCUUUCUUCUUUUCAGACAUGAAUGACUGUGUCGGAUGCUCAGAAGAUCACUAUCCAAACAGGAACCAAACACAAUGCAUUCCAAAGUCCAUCAGCUUCUUGACUUUGGAAGAACCUCUUGGGAUGAGCUUAGCUUUUGGCUCUGUAUUCUCCUCUUUGCUGACCAUCUUGUCCCUCGCCAUCUUUAUGAAGCAUCAGGACACACCGAUUGUCAGGGCCAAUAAUCGGGACCUCACCUACGUUCUCCUCCUGUCUCUCCUUCUCUGUUUUCUCUGUCCCCUCAUCUUCCUCAGCCGACCAGACAGAGUGACCUGCCUUGUCCGACAAAUGGCUUUUGGUGUGGUUUUCACAGUGACUGUUUCUUGUGUGUUGGCCAAAACCAUUACCGUUGUUCUGGCAUUCAUGGCCACCAAACCAGGAUCCAGAAUGAGGAAAUGGGUGGGGAAAAGACUGGCAAGCGCCAUUGUGUUGACUUGUACUAUUAUCCAAGCUGGUAUUUGCACUGUGUGGCUGGGAACCUCUCCCCCAUUUCCCCAUUUUGACAAGCAUUCUGUGACGGGAGAAAUUAUUCUGGAAUGUAAUGAAGGGUCAGCUGCCAUGUUUUACUGUGUCCUGGGCUACAUGGGCCUCCUGGCCACUGUCAGUUUUGUUGUAGCAUUUUUAGCCAGGAAACUGCCUGACAGCUUUAAUGAGGCCAAAUUCAUCACCUUCAGCAUGUUAUUAUUUUGUAGUGUUUGGAUCUCCUUUGUUCCGGUCUACCUGAGCUCCAAGGGAAAACACAUGGUGGCUGUGGAGAUCUUCUCCAUCUUGGUCUCCAGUGCUGGUUUACUGGGUUCCAUCUUUUUCCCCAAAUGCUACAUUAUCAUAUUGAGGCCUGAUCUGAAUGACAAACAGCAGUUAAUAAAGAAGAAAUAGCAAAGUACCCUGUUGUCACUCUUUUCUGUUACCCCAGAACAUGGGUAAUGAAUUUCCUGCUGACUCCUUGAUAUAAUUUCAUUUUAUUUGUUUAUUGAACUCGCUAUGUGCAUAAAAAAUUAUCAGAUGGUUCUCCCCCACCCCGAGAUGUGGUCCCCACCUUUCGGAGCCGAAGGGCACAAUUGGAAAACUGAGGAACUCUUGUGGACACAAAAAAACACCAAUUUCACAGAAGAAAGUGUGGAGAUGCCCAGAAACUCCACCUCCAUCCUUUCUUGUAACUUGAAUCCAUUGGUUUGGGUCCUACUCUCUGUAGCAAGAGACAAGCUUGCUGCAUCUUCCAUCUGACAGCCCUUGAGGUAUUUGAAGAUGUGUAUCAUAUCUCCUCUCGGUCUCCUUUUUCCAGGCUAAACAUACCCAGCUCCCUCAACUGUUGCUCAUAAGGCUUGGUUUCCCACCCAUCAUCUUCCUGGCUGCCCUCCUGUACACAUGUUCAGCACACAUUUUACCUCAUGAAAAUAUAAUGGGGGACUUUGCCAAAAGCCUGACUGAACUCAAAAUAGACUAUGACCACAGCAUUCUCCUGAUCCACCACAUUUGUAAUGCCAUAAAAAAGAAAAGAAAUGAGAUUGGUCUGGUUUGACAACAACAGGCCCAGGACAGAACCCUUUGGCACAUCUAUGCUAUGAGGAGAAAAUGAAAAGGAGGGAAAUACCCCUCUUCCCAGAGAGAGUGAGAGAUGCCACAUAUACCUAUUCUGAACUCAGAAGUGUGCAUGCAGCUCUCUGUGUGUAUGAAGCAGUACUUGAAGAAGAGCCAGGAAAUAAAUUCCCUACCUCAUGUUUUGUUUUAAAUUUUGCCGCAAAGCAGCAGACCUCCCUUACAGGCCUGUGGUCUGAAGUCUAAUGCUGCAUCCUUGGAAUCAGAGAGUCAGGGCCGAGCUCACAAUCCCCUUUGUGUCUCAAACUCUGUUCUUGAAUGCACUUUCCUCUUCACAAAGCAGCAUGUGAGAAAAGAAGGUUUAGCUGAAAUCACAAGGGUAGUCAUUGCCCGGGCACAGUUUUUUCCAGGGCAUGUUUUGCUCCUCACACCACCCAUGCCAGCCCGGUUCUGCUUUGCAAGUCCGAUCCCACAUCCCAGCCCCUCAAAGCAGUGUGGGGCUGGCAGGGCGUCAGGAUGAUGUAAUGGGCCUGUGCCCUUCCUGCUGCAUCCUCCUCAUGUCACCCGCCCAGCUUGUCACGGAUGCUUUAGUUGUGAUCCCUGCAUUCCAGGGGGUCGAGCUUGAUGACCUUUGGGGGCUCCUUUCAAUUCUACCUUUUUCUGUUUAUUUAGGCGAAUAUAUAUAGGGGCCCUAAAAAGGCCUGCAGACAGGGCCCAACGGACCAUAUGUCCAUCAUCACAGCCAUGCCUUGAAGUCACUCAGAGUCUGCUCACAAUUGUUCCUUUCCAGCCAAAUUCUACCAGUGGCAGGAUUCAUCUUGGCCCCAUGGGUUUACCUGCCCCAUGCCUGGCCUCACAUAACAUCAGCUGAUGGACAUGUGAAUGUGGUUUGGACCAUGAGCCCAAUGGAGAAACUUGGUUGGCCUAACUGCUGCAGGUCAGAGGUCCUUGUUGAUUCCCCGCAAGGAGCUUUCUCUACCUGUGUAGAUUCUCUUGAGUGACUGACAACGUUUAGGGUUCUGGAUUGUGUAAGAAAGUACAGUAAGUAGAGAAAGCUGCAGAGGCCCUCUUCUGAGAACACAGUAGGUGAUGAAACUGGCAGCAGGGAUGCAAUGAAGGGGAAGGGGUAACAGGCUUAUUCCUGCUCCCCCCUCAUUAAAAUGCCUUGAAAACACUUGAAGGAGGCUGCUGAGGGAUUAUUCUGUGUGGAUCAUUGUCUCUGCUACUUCCAAUGGACCAGCUGAGGCAAAGGGAACAAUAUUCUCUCCCCGGUUAUUAUCAAUUACAUGGUAAUAAUCUGCUUCUGAUUAGACCUCCAUAGACUUCCAGGAAUCCAGUCUACAAAGAAUUAAAACCCUCUCUGCCAUCCCCAGCAAAUGCUAAGGUGCUGCUGACUCGUUUAGUGAGCUUUCCCCUGGAGUUGGAUCCUAGGUCUUGGGAAUUUAGCUGGUGCAUUCGGAGAGUGCCAUUGAAGGCAAGCUGCUGUACUGAGGUUGUUUCUAAUGCCAAUGCUGAGUAGAUGUAAACAGGGAAAUCUCUGUCUAGGAAAGUGCAUUGUUCCUAGUAUGGCAGUGUUGAUGCUGUUAAUCUUCUCGCUGAAUCAAAUGGUGAAUCUGUCAUAUGUCAGUAGGAGCAUCAGUCACCUCCAUAUUCCACACAAGUACUAUCAGCCAGGUGACCUUAUCAUUGGUGCACUUGCUUCUCACAUCGUGUCCUCUGUUGACUAUGAAACCUUCAUACAAUGGCCAUCCAUCCAUCAGAUUCUGAAUUCAUUGUAAGUAUUGCAAAUUUGCAAUUCCCAUGUCAUAUUAAUUCCUAAGUUACCAUGUGGGCUCAGAAAUACAUACUAUUUAUUUUCGCUAUGGGGAUUUAUAACUUAUAGGGAGGGGUGCAAAAUAUCCCCCCACCGAACAUAGGAUCAAUCUUAAACUUAACCCUCCCCACCACCUGAAUUUUAACAUCUAAAAUGAUCAAGACAGACAAUAAAUUUUUCGUCAAGCCUGUAGGAAAGAUGUGAAUUGUCUAGGAUCCAGCGUGGAAGCAAAGAAAGAGCAGUCUUCCAGUGAGAUAUGACAUUAUGUUCUGGGUGGUGUGUUUCUCUCUCACCCCCAAGCUCCUGCACCCCACUUUCCAGAGCAGUGCUUAAGGGAGAGGAGGAGCCAUAACCACAACCAGUCACAUAGGUGUCAUAAUCUAGAGAGCCCAGCAUUCUGAUGUCAAGUGGAAAUGGGUGAAUGGCCAGUAGGAACCAUUGGUCUACCUAUUACAUGCCUGUCUACACAGAGUAGCAGUGGCUCUCCAGGAUUUCAGACAGGGGUCUGCCCCAGCCCCACCUGUGUGCUAAGCAGAUGCUCUACCAUUGGGUUUUACAGAAGCUUCAAAGAAAAUGUACACAGAGUAAUUGUGAAAACAUUACAGGCAACAGAAGGUUGCCUGGUAUUAGGGGCAAUAGCUUCAUUGAUGCAUGGGAAACUGAGGUGGGGUUCCAGAAACCUGCAAAAGGGCAACAAACUACAAGAAGGACGCAGCUGGAGAGAAUGAUUCCUAGUUUCAGUUGUCUCUACUGAAAGGCACAGGGUAUGGGAAACAAGCAAGAUGAAUUGGAGCUUUUAAUACAGGAUGGCAAAUAAGACAUAUGACCUAGAAGGCGAGUAGGCAUUGCCUCAGGGUUCAAGAUUUCUUUAACAGAUUGGAGAAUUGGGUUAACAAAAUGAAUUUCAAUAGGGACAAAUGUAAGGUUCUGCACUUAGGCAGCAAGUACCAACUUCACAAAUGUAAGUUGAAGGACACCUGGCUUACUAGGAUCUCGCCAUCUUAGUGGAAUUCAAGCUUCACUUGAGUGAACAGUGUGGUGCAGUUUUUGCUGUAUGUGUAUUUAAAACAAAUUCUUUAUUGGUUUAAUUAAAUCUGCCUGUAAGCUGCCUUGUUGCUCCCUAGCACAGAAAGACAUGGAACCUAAGUUUCUUUAAACAGAUUGACCAAAAAUGGUACACAGCAAAACGCUUUGAUGUCCAACUCUCAUUGCAGUGUUGUACCAAAAUACUAUCAGCAAAUUCUGGCCUUGGUGUUUGCAGUCAAGGAAAUCAACAAGAAUUCCAAUAUAUUACCUAAUGUCACAUUAGGAUUCCACAUCUUUGAUAGUUACUUCAGUGAAAGGAUGACCUACUGGGCCACUUUGGAGCUGCUCUCUACACACUACAGAUUCGUACCCAACUACCAGUGUGACAAACAGAAAAAUCUGAUGGCCGUCAUUGGGGGACUUGACUUUGAGGUUUCCCUCCACAUGGCAGCCAUCUUAGGUGUCUACAAGAUUCCCCAGGUAAGAGUCAAACAUGGUGACUCAUUCUUCUUUCCUCUGUCCUGUUGAGAAAAGUUUUGCAUUCCAUCAUAGCCCUCUUGACAAUUUCAAAUUGUAUUCAAUAAAAGCUUUCAUCCGUCUUCAUCCAUUUCCCAACGUGUGCAUGUUAUUCAGAGGGUAUGAAUGGAACAUUUUGCAGAUGCAGUUGAACACACCUAGUCUAUGUAUGCGAACAGCUUGGUCUGCUGGCCUCAGGUAGACUCCAACCAGGAUGAAUUGCAGAGGCUGCUCAUCAGUCGCUUGCACAUUACCUUAAUUAAUUUGACCUGGGCAGUUGGGGGCUGUCACUGGUGCUGUCAACAGCUCACUGGUUAUCUACUGAGUGAAAUCAGAGGACGCAGAGAGAGCUUUUCAAUGGUUUCAUUUUAAUCCACAGGAAGACAGAAAGACGUGAAAGUAUGCUCUCACCCUUGAGCUAAUAUUGCUCAGAUUGCAACUCCACCAUGCACCGACAAUUUCUUCCUAGAAAUCAGACCCCUCCUGCUGCCUAUGGUGGCUGCUAAGAACAAUUCUCUUUUGGGUUCUGCUCUGAGACACACAGAACACAUCUGGUCCUUUGGGAAGGAGGGGGCUGUGACAAAUUCUUCAGUGACAGCAUGUCACUUGGCUGCUGUACUGUUUCUAAGAAAUCUGACUCAUGUCUUUGUUCAUUGCCACCUUGCUCUGGUUCAUCAUCACUUAUUAUUUCCCAGGUGCUUUUUCCUUCUCAGGUGUGACCUGUCUCAAACCACCACACCAUACUCUCCCCCCUUCCUUCUUUCUGGAAGGUUCUUAGGGUGCUGCUCUCCACCACUCCUCCUCAUCUGCCCAUUCCCUGACGGGCUUACUAAGACAGCAGGUCCAAAGCACAAUGGUUUUGUCAUUGCAAUCCACACACAACCAAUGUUUCUACUGCAUUAAUGGGAAUUAAGUAUCCAUUUCCUUCUAGCUCACUUAUGGCCCCUUUGCCCCAGAGGAUGCUGGUCAAAGCCAAUCCACUCCCUUCUACCGGAUGGUGCCCAAUGAAGCCCAUCAGUACACUGGGAUUGUUGAGUUACUUCUGCACUUUGGAUGGACGUGGGUUGGGUUGCUCGCUGCGGAUAGUGAGAGUGGAGAGAAAUUUAUGGAAAUCCUGCAAACUCUGCUUUUCCAGAGAGGCAUUUGCUUGGCCUUUUCAGAGAGAACUCCAAAAGGCACAUAUUUUGAAGAGUAUUAUGACAGGAUCUCCCAGUGGCUCCAAGCCUAUCAUGCUAUUGCGGAAAGCAAAGCCAAUGCUGUCAUUGUCUAUGGAGAAGCCAAGUCCAUGGGUUUUUUGCAACUAUGGCUAGCGGCAGGGGGUGCAGAAAAUGUGACAUCUAUGGAGAAGGUAUGGAUUAUGACUGCUCAACUGGAUUUCUCAGCAGUGGCCUUUCAAAUGAGCCAGAGUAUGCAACCAUUUCAUGGCUCCAUCUGCUUCACAGUGCACUCAAAGGAGGUGCAAGGAUUCAAGACCCUUCUUCGCUCCCUCAAUCCUUUCAUGGCAGGUGAAGAUGGUUUUCUUCAGCAGUUCUGGCUGCAGACAUUCUAUUGUUUCUUUUCAAAAUCCAGUACUGAGUUCAGUGAACCCUGCACUGGACAGGAGAAGCUGGACAGCCUCCCCUCGUCUGGCUUUGAGAUGAGCAUGACUGGCCACAGCUACAGCAUCUACAAUGCUGUCUAUGUUCUGGCACAUGCCCUACAUGAUGCCAUGUACAGAUCCAGGGCAAAAGACAGAGGAAUUGUGAGAAGAUGGAGACCGCAGCUCCAGAAAUUGCAGCCUUGGCAGGUAAUGGCUCUUUUUUUUUGGUAUAUCUUUUAAUUAUUAUUUCAUUUUAUAUUGUUGAUAAAGCAAAGAUAACGCAAUUUUAACAACAGACAAAAAUUGAAAGAUAAAUACCCAAACUGAAAAAUAGGCAGGUAGGAUGUGUAGUUGCACGUGAGUUAAAUAAAGACUUUAAAGUCCAAAUUAAGUCCAAUUGUAUCAGAUCACCAAGCAUAGUUCUAGAUUUGCCAGGUUUUGGGGGAGGGGGUUGUUUUGAAAACGUUGGUUCUGCUGUAUAUGCCAAAUCAUAUAAAACGUGUCUAGUCCUUGUCAAAAUCUCAAAUUAUUUGUUUGCUAUAGCUAUAUUCCAGAGUGAGUGGUACAAAGUGUCCAGCAUCAGAAUUUUGGGCUGUGUUCUAUUGAGUUGCCAUUACUAUGAAUGCUGCCACUUUAAUCUUGCCAAUUUUUUUGGCAACAUAUUUACAAUGGUAUCAUCAGAAAUACACAGUGACAUUCAUUUUGGACAACAAACCAUCUUUUUAUAGUAAUAUUUAUCAUUUCUGAGAAAAUCGGAUACAACCCACUCACCUGAGCUUCAGCUCUUCAAAACAGCUAGGUGUGAUAUUGCCAAUGGCAAUUUCUAUCUCAACUAGAGUCUUAACAGAAACACCUGUUUUGCCUGUUCCUCCCUCAGUCUUACCCUCCCCCCAUUUUUCUGUUCUUUCAUUUAUACCCUUUCUGCAUUGAACUUCAUGGAUGUUUGCAUGAUGAUUUUGGAAGUCCCGUUUAAGCUUUGAAAUACAUAUACAGUGUGGCUUAGUCCUAUACGGAGGAAUCUACAGAGGAAAGAGAGAUCAAAAUUUACAGUUAUUAUUGCUAUUGUUAUUAAUUUGUGAUUAUAUGAAAUCUUGUCUACUGCCAUGGAAGAGGCAAUGGCACUUUAAAAGGCGAUGCUGAACAUAAGAUAAGGUUGAGUUUUAAACAAUUUUCCUUUUCCUGCCAUCUCAAUGCAGCUCCACCCAUUUCUUAGGAGUGUCUCAUUUAACAACAGUGCGGGAGAAGAAGUGUCUUUUAGUGAGAACAGGGAAUCAGAAGCUGGGUUCGAUAUUACCAACUUGGUCACUUUCCCAAAUAACUCCUUCAUCAGAAUGAAGGUUGGAUGGAUGAAUUUGGAUGCUCCCCCAGGAAAAGAGUUUUCCAUCAAUGAAGACAAAAUGGUGUGGCACAGGAGUUUUCAGCAGGUGGGGCAUGAUUUCAGAAAAUUGCAACUCCAGUGUGUCCUAAAUGUGAUGUUUGCAUCUUGGAAGCCUAGCGGAGACGUGGAUCCUGUAUUUUUUCUCUCUUGUUGUUUAUGAAAACCUCUAUGAAUGUUGUGGGGCUCUAAUGCCUUGAAGCAGGCCAGGACAUAGUUCAUUAUUAUAUGCUUGUUUGUUUAUUGCAUUUUUAGUUCACCUUUCCUUUGCUUGCUUCCCAUUUUAUCCUAACAACCAACAACCCUGUAAGGUAGUGUAGACUGAGAGCAGCAGUGACUGGUCCAAGGUCACCCAAUGAGUUUCAUGGCCAAGUGGGGAUUUGAAUCCUGGUCUUCCACUUCCCUGUCUAGCACAUUCUUUAAAGAUUUCUAGGCCAGCAGAGUGUGACCUAAGCCUAACCUCCAACCAACAUCUCUGGGGAGAAAGAAAAGGGAGCUGAGCCUGGAGACAGACGAGGCAGACUUCUGCAGAGAAUGCCUGGUUUGGAGGCUAGUAAUUCUCAAGUUAUAGUAGCAGAAGUCUGGCAGAGUCCAGCACUAUCCUUGUUUUUGAGGCUGCUUAAGUUGUGGAAUGUGUGUGGCGCUGUUGCCUAAACCACAGAGCCUAGGGCUGGCCGAUCAGAAGGUUGGUGGUUCGAAUCCCAGUGACAGGGUGAGCUCCCAUUGUUCGGUCCCUGCUCCUGCCAACCUAGCAGUUCAAAAGCAUGCCAAAGUGCAAGUAGAUAAAUAGGUACUGCUCCAGCGGGAAGGUAAACAGCAUUUCCAAGCGUUGCUUUGGUUUGCCAGAAACGGCUUAGUCAUGCUGGCCACAUGACCCAGAAGCUGUAUGCCGGCUCCCUCGGCAAUUUCUCCCAUCCACUUGAUCCCUUGCACCCCAGAAAAUGGUGUUCAGAUUCUCCAAAGGUCCAUUAUUCCCCCUGUGCUAAACAUUUCCUUACGGUUAAUUAAAAUUCACAGGUGCCACCCCUCUCUCAAUGCAACAAAAAUUGUCCUUCUGGUACUAGGAGAAAAAAGAAGGAAGGGGAGAAAUUCUGCUGCUAUGACUGUGCUCCAUGUUCAGAAGGCAAGAUUUCAUACCAGAAAGGUAGGAGACAUUAGGUAGCUUUCAGAUAACUCAGAUUUCCUGUGAAGGGUCUGUGGCAGAGUGAAAGGUGUCACAGUUGCUGCUAUUGAUGUAGUUUUGAUUUCCAUGGUGAUUGAAGUUCACAGACUUGGAGCUCUUCAUUGCAACCAGCUGAUGGCCCAGCAUCGGGGCCAAACAUUUUCAAAAAGGCGCUUUGCAAGCCCAAAUGAUCAGAUGAUGGUUGGGGUUUACAAAGCACACUGUUACCUGCCCUACACCUAACAUCAGAGAUGACAUCAGAUAUAGGGCCAGUAGGUGUAACUUGCUAAAAUGGCCCCAUGGGUCAGAGGUUUUCUAACUGGAUUACCUGGGUGGUGAUGGAGAUGAGUUGCAGCAGUGCACCUGCAAAGCACAGGCCUCCUGCUGUCCAGACCCACCCCCUUACUGUCCAGGCAAGAGACUGUGAGAUCAUUGUCUGGGGGAGGGGGGUCCAAAGCUCUUUCUCCCCAUGCUAGUCACUCCUGUGUCUGAAAAGGAUUGUCUCUUGCACAUCCAACUGGUAAGUCCCAUACUGCCAGGAGGAUGCAUACCUACUCUCAAGUUACACCCUUAAAGGGAAUCCUUUCUUCUUUUCAGACAUGAAUGACUGUGUCGGAUGCUCAGAAGAUCACUAUCCAAACAGGAACCAAACACAAUGCAUUCCAAAGUCCAUCAGCUUCUUGACUUUGGAAGAACCGCUUGGGAUGAGCUUAGCUUUUGGCUCCGUAUUCUCCUCUUUGCUCACCAUCUUGUCCCUCGCCAUCUUUAUGAAGCAUCAGGACACACCGAUUGUCAGGGCCAAUAAUCGGGACCUCACCUACGUUCUCCUCCUGUCUCUCCUUCUCUGUUUUCUCUGUCCCCUCAUCUUCCUCAGCCGACCAGACAGAGUGACCUGCCUUGUCCGACAAAUGGCUUUUGGUAUGGUUUUCACAGUGACUGUUUCUUGUGUGUUGGCCAAAACCAUUACCGUUGUUCUGGCAUUCAUGGCCACCAAACCAGGAUCCAGAAUGAGGAAAUGGGUGGGGAAAAGACUGGCAAGCGCCAUUGUGUUGACAUGUACUAUUGUCCAAGCUGGUAUUUGCACUGUGUGGCUGGGAACUUCUCCCCCAUUUCCCCAUUUUGACAAGCAUUCUGUGACAGGAGAAAUUAUUCUGGAAUGUAAUGAAGGGUCAGCUGCCAUGUUUUACUGUGUCCUGGGCUACAUGGGCCUCCUGGCCAUUGUCAGUUUUGUUGUAGCAUUUUUAGCCAGGAAACUGCCUGACAGCUUUAAUGAGGCCAAAUUCAUCACCUUCAGCAUGUUGUUGUUUUGUAGUGUUUGGAUCUCCUUUGUUCCGGUUUACCUGAGCACCAAGGGAAAACACAUGGUGGCUGUGGAGAUCUUCUCCAUCUUGGUCUCCAGUGCUGGUUUACUGGGUUCCAUCUUUUUCCCCAAAUGCUACAUUAUCAUAUUGAGGCCUGAUCUGAAUGACAAACA